This 117-nucleotide ribosomal RNA is filed under the name Periophthalmus magnuspinnatus. Lineage: Eukaryota; Metazoa; Chordata; Actinopteri; Gobiiformes; Gobiidae. The record is from RNAcentral.
AAUAUCUGCCUUACCACCUUCAAAAUGCCCAGUCUUGUGUAAUUCUUGAAACUAAGCAGGGCUGGGCCUGGUUAGUACUGGGAUGGGAGACUGUUGGUGAUAUCAGGUGUCAUAGUG